UACAGAGGUCCCGAGCGUUGUUCGGAUUCGCUGGGCGUAAAGGGUGCGUAGGUGGUGAAGUAAGUCGGAUGUGAAAGCUCCGGGCUCAACCCGGAAAUGGCAUUGGAAACUACUUUGCUUGAGGGUUGGAGGGGGGACUGGAAUUCUCGGUGUAGCAGUGAAAUGCGUAGAUAUCGAGAGGAACACCAGUGGCGAAGGCGAGUCCCUGGACAACACCUGACACUGAGGCACGAAAGCCGGGGGAGCAAACAGG
RNAcentral lists this ribosomal RNA (253 nucleotides) under uncultured bacterium. RNAcentral describes it as "partial 16S ribosomal RNA". It matches the Rfam family "Bacterial small subunit ribosomal RNA", at positions 524 to 776 of the family's 1533-position model. The record is from RNAcentral.